GCCGACUUAGCUCAGCUGGUAGAGCACCCGCCUUGUAAGCGGACGGUCAUCAGUUCAAAUCUGAUAGUCGGCUCCA
This 76-nucleotide transfer RNA is filed under the name Puniceicoccales bacterium. Its description in RNAcentral is "tRNA-Thr". It matches the Rfam family "tRNA". Rfam says of the family: Transfer RNA (tRNA) molecules are approximately 80 nucleotides in length. Their secondary structure includes four short double-helical elements and three loops (D, anti-codon, and T loops). Lineage: Bacteria; Pseudomonadati; Verrucomicrobiota; Opitutia; Puniceicoccales. The record is from RNAcentral.